CGAGCCGGGCGGACGGCCGCGUGGAGUCCCCCUAGGGGGCUUCCCGAGGAACGUCCGGGCUCCACAGGGCAGGGUGGUGGCUAACGGCCACCCGGGGUGACCCGCGGGACAGUGCCACAGAAAGCAAACCGCCCGGCGCUCAGGCGCUGGGUAAGGGUGAAACGGUGGUGUAAGAGACCACCAGUGCCCAGGGCGACCUGGGCAGCUAGGUAAACCCCACCCGGAGCAAGGUCAAGAAGGAGACACCCCGGUGUCUCUGCGCGGACGCUCGAGGGCUGCCCGCCCGAGUCCGCGGGUAGACCGCAGGAGGCCGGCGGCAACGCCGGUCGUAGAUGGAUGGCCGUCGCCUCAGGGGCCGCGAGGACCUUGAGGAACAGAACCCGGCGUACAGCCCGACUCGUCUG
This 404-nucleotide RNase P RNA is filed under the name Streptomyces ferrugineus. RNAcentral's name for it is "Bacterial RNase P class A". It matches the Rfam family "Bacterial RNase P class A". From Rfam's summary of the family: Ribonuclease P (RNase P) is a ubiquitous endoribonuclease, found in archaea, bacteria and eukarya as well as chloroplasts and mitochondria. Its best characterised activity is the generation of mature 5'-ends of tRNAs by cleaving the 5'-leader elements of precursor-tRNAs. Cellular RNase Ps are ribonucleoproteins. Lineage: Bacteria; Bacillati; Actinomycetota; Actinomycetes; Kitasatosporales; Streptomycetaceae. The record is from Rfam by way of RNAcentral.